AUUGAACGCUGGCGGCAGGCCUAACACAUGCAAGUCGAACGAGUGGCGGACGGGUGAGUAAUGUCUGGGAAACUGCCCGAUGGAGGGGGAUAACUACUGGAAACGGUAGCUAAUACCGCAUACCAUCGGAUGUGCCCAGAUGGGAUUAGCUAGUGGGUGGGGUAACGGCUCACCUAGGCGACGAUCCCUAGCUGGUCUGAGAGGAUGACCAGCCACACUGGAACUGAGAGAGGGUCCCGUCUCCUACGUGAUGCAGCGGUUGGGAAUAUUGCACAAUGGACGCAAGCCUGAUACAGCCGUGCCGCGUGUAUGAAGAAGUCCUUCGGGUUGUAAAAUGCUUUCAGCGAGGAGGCGUUACUCACAGAAGAAGCACCGGCUAACUCCGUGCCAGCAGCCGCGGUAAUAC
RNAcentral lists this ribosomal RNA (406 nucleotides) under uncultured bacterium. RNAcentral describes it as "partial 16S ribosomal RNA". It matches the Rfam family "Bacterial small subunit ribosomal RNA", at positions 30 to 526 of the family's 1533-position model. The record is from RNAcentral.